This 222-nucleotide unclassified non-coding RNA is filed under the name uncultured Gammaproteobacteria bacterium. Its description in RNAcentral is "contains 16S-23S intergenic spacer region". It matches the Rfam family "Bacterial small subunit ribosomal RNA", at positions 980 to 1198 of the family's 1533-position model. The record is from RNAcentral. Lineage: Bacteria; Pseudomonadati; Pseudomonadota; Gammaproteobacteria.
UACCCUUGACAUGUACGGAAGCCUCCAGAGAUGGAGGUGUGCCCGAAAGGGAACCGUAACACAGGUGCUGCAUGGCUGUCGUCAGCUCGUGUCGUGAGAUGUUGGGUUAAGUCCCGCAACGAGCGCAACCCUUGCCAUUAGUUGCCACAUUAAGUUGGGCACUCUAAUGGGACUGCCGGUGACAAACCGGAGGAAGGUGGGGAUGACGUCCUUGCUAGGUAA